AUUGAACGCUGGCGGCAGGCUUAACACAUGCAAGUCGAGCGGGGAAAGGUAGCUUGCUACCUGACCUAGCGGCGGACGGGUGAGUAAUGCUUAGGAAUCUGCCUAUUAGUGGGGGACAACAUUCCGAAAGGAAUGCUAAUACCGCAUACGCCCUACGGGGGAAAGCAGGGGAUCUUCGGACCUUGCGCUAAUAGAUGAGCCUAAGGCAGAUUAGCUAGUUGGUGGGGUAAAGGCCUACCAAGGCGACGAUCUGUAGCGGGUCUGAGAGGAUGAUCCGCCAAACUGGGACUGAGACACGGCCCAGACUCCUACGGGAGGCAGCAGUGGGGAAUAUUGGACAAUGGGCGAAAGCCUGAUCCAGCCAUGCCGCGUGUGUGAAGAAGGCCUUUUGGUUGUAAAGCACUUUAAGCGAGGAGGAGGCUACUUGGAUUAAUACUCUAGGAUAGUGGACGUUACUCGCAGAAUAAGCACCGGCUAACUCUGUGCCAGCCGCCGCGGUAA
This 501-nucleotide ribosomal RNA is filed under the name uncultured bacterium. Its description in RNAcentral is "partial 16S ribosomal RNA". It matches the Rfam family "Bacterial small subunit ribosomal RNA", at positions 30 to 523 of the family's 1533-position model. The record is from RNAcentral.